Molecule: ribosomal RNA, 497 nt
Filed under: uncultured bacterium
Lineage: Bacteria
Description: partial 16S ribosomal RNA
Rfam family: Bacterial small subunit ribosomal RNA
Source: RNAcentral
GAUGAACGCUGGCGGCGUGCCUAAUACAUGCAAGUCGAGCGAACGGACGAGAAGCUUGCUUCUCUGAUGUUAACGGCGGACGGGUGAGUAACACGUGGAUAACCUACCUAUAAGACUGGGAUAACUUCGGGAAACCGGAGCUAAUACCGGAUAAUAUUUUGAACCGCAUGGUUCAAAAGUAAAAGACGGUCUUGCUGUCACUUAUAGAUGGAUCCGCGCUGCAUUAGCUAGUUGGUAAGGUAACGGCUUACCAAGGCAACGAUGCAUAGCCGACCUGAGAGGGUGAUCGGCCACACUGGAACUGAGACACGGUCCAGACUCCUACGGGAGGCAGCAGUAGGGAAUCUUCCGCAAUGGGCGAAAGCCUGACGGAGCAACGCCGCGUGAGUGAUGAAGGUCUUCGGAUCGUAAAACUCUGUUAUUAGGGAAGAACAUAUGUGUAAGUAACCGUGCACAUCUUGACGGUACCUAAUCAGAAAGCCACGGCUAACUACGUG